UACGUAGGGUGCGAGCGUUAAUCGGAAUUACUGGGCGUAGAGCGUGCGCAGGCGGUUCGUUGUGUCGGCGGUGAAAGCCCCGGGCUUAACCUGGGAAUGGCCGUUGAAACUGGCGAACUGGAGUGUGGCAGAGGGGGGUGGAAUUCCGCGUGUAGCAGUGAAAUGCGUAGAGAUGCGGAGGAACACCGAUGGCGAAGGCAGCCCCCUGGGCUAACACUGACGCUCAGGCACGAAAGCGUGGGGAGCAAACAGG
RNAcentral lists this ribosomal RNA (253 nucleotides) under uncultured bacterium. RNAcentral's name for it is "partial 16S ribosomal RNA". It matches the Rfam family "Bacterial small subunit ribosomal RNA", at positions 524 to 776 of the family's 1533-position model. The record is from RNAcentral.